CCCUUAGAUGUUCUGGGCUGCACGCGCGCUACACUGAUGCAUCCAGCGAGUUGUAACCUUGCUUGGUAAAGUUUGGUAAUCUGAGGCUAAUGUGCAUCGUGAUGGGAAUAGAGUUUUGCAACUAUUAGUCUUGAACGAGGAAUUCCUCGUAAGCACGAGUCAUCAGCUUGUGCUGAUUACGUCCCUGCCCUUUGUACACACCGCCCGUCGCUCCUACCGAUUGGGUGCUCCGGUGAAUAAUUCGGACUGAUGCAAUAUUCAGCUCCUGGACGUUGCGUUGGAAAGUUUAGUGAACCUUAUCACUUAGAGGAAGGAGAAGUCGUAACA
RNAcentral lists this ribosomal RNA (327 nucleotides) under uncultured eukaryote. RNAcentral describes it as "partial 18S ribosomal RNA". It matches the Rfam family "Eukaryotic small subunit ribosomal RNA", at positions 1470 to 1796 of the family's 1831-position model. The record is from RNAcentral.